GUGCGCCGUCGCCGAAUCCUGAAAGUGCACCACCGCGAGCCACAACUCGAUACAGAUGCACCAAAGGAACCGGGGAACCAACCCUUGCCGGACAUCCAGGCGAGGAUGGGGUGAAUCGACAAGUCCCGUUCAUGGGCGGGCAGUUCGUAGGAGACCUUCCUGCUCCGAACCCGUCAGCUAACCCGGUAGGCGAGAAGGAAGGAAAG
Molecule: small RNA, 206 nt
Filed under: Streptomyces sp.
Lineage: Bacteria; Bacillati; Actinomycetota; Actinomycetes; Kitasatosporales; Streptomycetaceae
Description: c-di-AMP sequence
Rfam family: c-di-AMP riboswitch aptamer (ydaO/yuaA leader)
About the family: This family represents a conserved RNA structure found upstream of the ydaO and yuaA genes in Bacillus subtilis and related genes in other bacteria. The ydaO/yuaA element is thought to act as a genetic "off" switch for the ydaO and yuaA genes in its native state. It is believed that the element may be triggered during osmotic shock leading to activation of ydaO, a predicted amino acid transporter gene, and members of the yuaA-yubG operon which code for KtrA and KtrB K+ transporters.
Source: RNAcentral